RNAcentral lists this transfer RNA (72 nucleotides) under Psorophora saeva. RNAcentral's name for it is "tRNA-Val". Lineage: Eukaryota; Metazoa; Arthropoda; Insecta; Diptera; Culicidae. The record is from RNAcentral.
AUAUUUUUAUUAUUAUUUUAUUUUACAUGUAAAUUUUUGUAAGAAUAUAUUUUAUUUUUAAAAAAUGAAAUA